RNAcentral lists this ribosomal RNA (301 nucleotides) under uncultured bacterium. RNAcentral's name for it is "partial 16S ribosomal RNA". It matches the Rfam family "Bacterial small subunit ribosomal RNA", at positions 509 to 807 of the family's 1533-position model. The record is from RNAcentral.
CAGUAGCCGCGGUAAUACGGAGGGAGCUAGCGUUGUUCGGAAUUACUGGGCGUAAAGCGCACGUAGGCGGUUAUUCAAGUCAGAGGUGAAAGCCCAGUGCUCAACACUGGAACUGCCUUUGAAACUAGAUAACUUGAAUCCAGGAGAGGUGAGUGGAAUUCCGAGUGUAGAGGUGAAAUUCGUAGAUAUUCGGAAGAACACCAGUGGCGAAGGCGGCUCACUGGACUGGUAUUGACGCUGAGGUGCGAAAGCGUGGGGAGCAAACAGGAUUAGAUACCCCCGUAGUCCCUGUCUCUUAUAC